Molecule: ribosomal RNA, 253 nt
Filed under: uncultured prokaryote
Description: partial 16S ribosomal RNA
Rfam family: Bacterial small subunit ribosomal RNA
Source: RNAcentral
UACAGGGGAUGCAAGUGUUAUUCGGAAUUAUUGGGCGUAAAGCGUCUGUAGGUGGAUAUUUAAGUCUUUUGUCAAAUCUUUGGGCUUAACCUAAAAAAGGCAAAAGAAACUGUUUAUCUAGAGUUUGGUAGAGGUAAAGGGAAUUUCCAGUGGAGCGGUGAAAUGCGUAGAUAUUGGAAGGAACACCGAAAGCGAAGGCACUUUACUGGGCCAUAACUGACACUGAGAGACGAAAGCUAGGGGAGCAAAUCGG